GACGAACGCUGGCGGCGUGCUUAACACAUGCAAGUCGAACGAUGAAGAAGAGAAACGCGAACUUCGGUUCAAAUUUCACUUCGGAUUAGUGGCAGACGGGUGAGUAACGCGUGAGCAACCUACCUCUUACAAAGGGAUAGCCUCGGGAAACCGUGAUUAAUACCAUAUGACACAUUCAUAAGGCAUCUUAAGAAUGUUAAAGCCACGGCGGUAAGAGAUGGGCUCGCGUCCCAUUAGCUAGUUGGUGAGGUAACGGCCCACCAAGGCGACGAUGGGUAACCGGCCUGAGAGGGUGAACGGUCACAUUGGAACUGAGACACGGUCCAAACUCCUACGGGAGGCAGCAGUGGGGAAUAUUGCACAAUGGAGGGAACUCUGAUGCAGCGACGCCGCGUGAGCGAUGAAGGAAUUCGUUUCGUAAAGCUCUGUUCUAUGGGAAGAAAAGGACUGUACCAUAGGAGAAAGCCCCGGCUAAAUACGUG
Molecule: ribosomal RNA, 482 nt
Filed under: uncultured bacterium
Lineage: Bacteria
Description: partial 16S ribosomal RNA
Rfam family: Bacterial small subunit ribosomal RNA
Source: RNAcentral